This 465-nucleotide ribosomal RNA is filed under the name Vreelandella stevensii. RNAcentral describes it as "partial 16S ribosomal RNA". It matches the Rfam family "Bacterial small subunit ribosomal RNA", at positions 338 to 795 of the family's 1533-position model. The record is from RNAcentral. Lineage: Bacteria; Pseudomonadati; Pseudomonadota; Gammaproteobacteria; Oceanospirillales; Halomonadaceae.
CCUACGGGGGGCAGCAGUGGGGAAUAUUGGACAAUGGGCGAAAGCCUGAUCCAGCCAUGCCGCGUGUGUGAAGAAGGCCUUCGGGUUGUAAAGCACUUUCAGUGGGGAAGAAAGCCUUGGGGCUAAUACCCUCGAGGAAGGACAUCACCCACAGAAGAAGCACCGGCUAACUCCGUGCCAGCAGCCGCGGUAAUACGGAGGGUGCGAGCGUUAAUCGGAAUUACGGGGCGUAAAGCGCGCGUAGGCGGUCUGAUAAGCCGGUUGUGAAAGCCCCGGGCUCAACCUGGGAACGGCAUCCGGAACUGUCAGGCUAGAGUGCAGGAGAGGAAGGUAGAAUUCCCGGUGUAGCGGUGAAAUGCGUAGAGAUCGGGAGGAAUACCAGUGGCGAAGGCGGCCUUCUGGACUGACACUGACGCUGAGGUGCGAAAGCGUGGGUAGCAAACAGGAUUAGAUACCCGUGUAGUC